This 491-nucleotide ribosomal RNA is filed under the name uncultured bacterium. RNAcentral describes it as "bacterial SSU rRNA". It matches the Rfam family "Bacterial small subunit ribosomal RNA", at positions 26 to 507 of the family's 1533-position model. The record is from RNAcentral.
AGGACGAACGCUGGCGGCGUGCUUAACACAUGCAAGUCGAACGAAAGGACGGGAAGAGCUUGCUCUUUCCGGAAUUGAGUGGCAAACGGGUGAGUAACACGUAAACAACCUGCCUUCAGGAUGGGGACAACAGACGGAAACGACUGCUAAUACCGAAUAAGUUCCAAGAGCCGCAUGGCCCAUGGAAGAAAAGGUGGCCUCUACCUGUAAGCUAUCGCCUGAAGAGGGGUUUGCGUCUGAUUAGCUGGUUGGAGGGGUAACGGCCCACCAAGGCGACGAUCAGUAGCCGGACUGAGAGGUUGAACGGCCACAUUGGGACUGAGAUACGGCCCAGACUCCUACGGGAGGCAGCAGUGGGGAAUAUUGGGCAAUGGGCGCAAGCCUGACCCAGCAACGCCGCGUGAAGGAAGAAGGCUUUCGGGUUGUAAACUUCUUUUGUCAGGGACGAGUAGAAGACGGUACCUGACGAAUAAGCCACGGCUAACUACGUG